GACGAACGCUGGCGGCGUGCUUAACACAUGCAAGUCGAACGAAGAGCGAUGGAAGCUUGCUUCUAUCAAUCUUAGUGGCGCACGGGUGAGUAACGCGUAAUCAACCUGCCCUUCAGAGGGGGACAACAGUUGGAAACGACUGCUAAUACCGCAUACGAUCUAAUCUCGGCAUCGAGGAUAGAUGAAAGGUGGCCUCUACAUGUAAGCUAUCACUGAAGGAGGGGAUUGCGUCUGAUUAGCUAGUUGGAGGGGUAACGGCCCACCAAGGCGAUGAUCAGUAGCCGGUCUGAGAGGAUGAACGGCCACAUUGGGACUGAGACACGGCCCAGACGCCUACGGGAGGCAGCAGUGGGGAAUCUUCCGCAAUGGACGAAAGUCUGACGGAGCAACGCCGCGUGAGUGAUGACGGCCUUCGGGUUGUAAAGCUCUGUUAAUCGGGACGAAAGGCCUUCUUGCGAAUAGUGAGAAGGAUUGACGGUACCGGAAUAGAAAGCCACGGCUAACUACGUG
This 510-nucleotide ribosomal RNA is filed under the name uncultured bacterium. RNAcentral's name for it is "partial 16S ribosomal RNA". It matches the Rfam family "Bacterial small subunit ribosomal RNA", at positions 28 to 507 of the family's 1533-position model. The record is from RNAcentral.